CACAGGCGGGGCAGAUGGGGUAAGAGGAGCGGGACCAGGGCUUGGGUGGUCAGCUUCAGCCCCCCUCCCUCCACCGUUCCUGUCAGUGGCAACCCAGGGCUCAGUGGGGGUUCCACAAGGAGGAGGGGCUGCUGUGAGCGUGUGCAUAGGUGUGUGCGUGAAUUGAUAGACGCAUGUCUCUGCAGACUUGUGUAAGCAUGUCUGUAUUCUGUGAUUGUGUAGGGUUGCAGCUAUACGGUUUGUACACAUAUAUAGCUGUUAAGAAUGCUUGUAUGGGGGACUUGCCCUGGUGGUCCAGUGGUUAAGACUUCACCUUUCAGUGCAUUGGGUUCGGGUUUGAUCCCUGGUCGGGGAGCUGAGAUCCCACAUGCCUCGCGGCCAAGGAACCAAAACAUAAAACAGAGUGAUAUUGUAACAAAUUCAGUAAAGACUUUAAAAACAGUCCACGUCAAAAAAACUUACAAAAGGGCCUCCCUGGUGGCGCAGUGGUUGCGCGUCCGCCUGCCGAUGCAUGGGAACCGGGUUCGCGCCCCGGUCUGGGAGGAUCCCACAUGCCGCGGAGCGGCUGAGCCCGUGAGCCAUGGCCGCUGGGCCUGCGCGUCCGGAGCCUGUGCCCCGCAACGGGAGAGGCCGCAGCAGAGGGAGGCCCGCGUACCGCAAAAAAAAAAAAAAAAAAAAACUUACAAAAAAAAAGAAUGCUUGUAUGUUUGCAUGAUUGUGUAUCCAUGGGUGGGUGUAUACACAUAUGUACAUUGUAUGUUUACGAGUGUUUGUGGCUGCUUAUGUGUACUGUAGGGAGAUUCAUGCACAUGACCAGGUAGAGUGCUUAUAUAUUUACAUGACGGUGCAUGUGUGUGUGUGUGUGUGUGUGUGUGUGUGUGUGUGUGUGUGUGUACAGGCACAUGGAGCACAUAGAGUUGUUAAAUGCUCUGAUGGAAGAGACUCGUUGGUUAAAAGCCACCUCUGUCUGGGCCAAGUGAGGUGGUCGUGUCUAGAGGCAGGAGGAUGGACACCGGGGCCCCUGGAGUCCCUUUCCAGCCCAAGGAGCAGGAGGACGCGUACGUCUCUGUGUGUCUGUGUAUGACGGCGCAUGUCUGCGGCUGUAUGCCCGUGUGACAGCGAGUGCCUGGCUGUGUAAGUGCCCUGAGUGAUAGUGCAUGCCUGUGCGUGACUGUGACCAGGAGCCUAGCCGGGUCUGUGCGUGGUAGUGAAUGAUGGUGCCGGGACCACGGCCACACGCAUCUGUAGGACAGGUGAGCCUCGCGUGAAGGCGUGCGGCAUUGUGCGCUUUGCGUCCUUCCCCUUGUGUGAUCGUGUGGCCACCUCUACAUGUUCGCUCCAGUUGGGACCCCUCCCACUGCUGCCAGCCUCAGCCCCACUGAGUCAGCCUGGAAUGAAGAGCCAGGAUCUGGAAGCUCAGGACUGAUCUCUCCCUCCCUAACCUGAAGCCCCAGGCAAGUGCUAGCCCCAACCGGUUGGACCUAGAGAGGAAUAUGAAGGUGGUGGUGUGCCCAGGGCCCCAACCCUGGCUGGGCUAGCAGCAUGCCACCUCCCAGCCUCCUGCAAUCCUCCCCUGCCGGCGCCUCACCCAGCCUGGCUCACUCUCCUCCUGUGAGAGUCAGCAAGUCCUUUGGAGCCCCAGACCUUGGUCUCAGCAACUCAUCCUGCUCUGCCCUUCUCUGGCUCUCUCCUGGGACCACCUUCACACUUAGAGAGCAUCUCACACACACAACUGCACACUGUCACAGCCAAAGAGAUCAACACAUAGACACACUCUUAUAAGCCUUCAAAAUGCAGAUACCUACCUAUGCAGUCCCACCUUCUCACACACACACACACACUGUCGGAUCCAUACAGACACACAUCUACCCACAAACACGAGUGCGUAUUAAUCCAGAGGAUGCACCCGCUGUGCACACUUAGAGCCCCACAUGUGUAUUCAUGCAAGACCACACAUACCUGCAGAAGCUUAGUCCGGUUCUAGAGAGCCAGCAGGCACCCUUUCAACACCCCUAACAACUCAGGCAUCACUGAACCUGCCCCUCGGAAUCCUGGCUGGGCCGUCAGCCAUGUCCUAACCCCCCUAGGCUCCAGGGUAACCCAGAGCAGGCAGGCUAGCUGCUGGGGCUCUAACGGGACCUGGUGAUGCCUCCUCCAGCGCCAGGCCAAGCUAACACCAGCCCACUCCUGAGAUAAGGAUCCUGAUGCCAUCUGCCAGGUCCUGGGCUAUCACAAGGCAAACCAGGAAUGAGCCAGAACUCAGCAGAGAGCAGAGGCCCCACCCUGGGGAAGGACUGCCGAAAGCAACCCACAACAAGAGACUGGUCUCCAUGCCCUGGGAGCCAGCCGGACAGGAAGGGAUCGCUUGGUGCCCUGGCUUCUAUGCACAGGAAGGGAAACCAAGGACCUCAUAACCUGGACUGGCAUCAGGAUUAUGGGGUUGUCCUGAGCACUCUGGAGAGCAGGGAUCAUUAUCCCCACUUCACAGAUGGGGAAACAGAAGCCUGGAGAAACAUGAGGAUUCAGCACAGAAGCAGAAACACAAAGACAGAAGCUUGGAAAGGAGUGAACAGAGGUACAGAAGCAGAGCAA
Molecule: long non-coding RNA, 2592 nt
Organism: Physeter macrocephalus (sperm whale)
Lineage: Eukaryota; Metazoa; Chordata; Mammalia; Artiodactyla; Physeteridae
Exons: 4
Source: RefSeq, a predicted model, not a curated record